GUUAAAGUGGCAGAGCCCGGCCAAUGCUAAAGAUCUAAGCUCUUUCUACAGAGGUUCAAACCCUCUCUUUAACU
This 74-nucleotide transfer RNA is filed under the name Aulopus filamentosus (royal flagfin). Its description in RNAcentral is "tRNA-Leu". It matches the Rfam family "tRNA". From Rfam's summary of the family: Transfer RNA (tRNA) molecules are approximately 80 nucleotides in length. RNAcentral also lists the same sequence under 1 other name. Lineage: Eukaryota; Metazoa; Chordata; Actinopteri; Aulopiformes; Aulopidae. The record is from RNAcentral.